UACGUAGGGGGCUAGCGUUGUCCGGAAUUAUUGGGCGUAAAGGGCUCGUAGGCGGUCUGUUGCGUCGGGAGUGAAAACUUACAGCUUAACUGUGAGCGUGCUUCCGAUACGGGCAGACUUGAGGUAUUCAGGGGAGAACGGAAUUCCUGGUGUAGCGGUGAAAUGCGCAGAUAUCAGGAGGAACACCGGUGGCGAAGGCGGUUCUCUGGGAAUAUCCUGACGCUGAGGAGCGAAAGUGUGGGGAGCGAACAGG
Molecule: ribosomal RNA, 253 nt
Filed under: uncultured bacterium
Lineage: Bacteria
Description: partial 16S ribosomal RNA
Rfam family: Bacterial small subunit ribosomal RNA
Source: RNAcentral